AAUCGAUAUGGUUUCCACCACAACGCCUUCGUCUUCAACAAUAUCAUUAACCUUUCUUCCGAAUAUUGAAGCUGCCAUGUUGCUUACAACUUGAUAAAUAUCAUUACGUCCUUCCCACAAUGGGAAAAUUCCAACAGCGAAUACGGUAAAGAAAAUCCAUAUUAAUCCAACGACUACCCAUCCUGUGAAAAAUCUUUUGGAAAAUAUAUAUCCAGUUCCAUACAUUGGCCAAGGCCAAAGAAUAAUAAAUGCUGCAGUAAUGAUUAAUGCUGCAACCUUAGAGAUAACACUUGCACGAUUUAAUUUCUUUGUUUGUUGAAUCUCAUCUUCUUCAGAUGAGAAAUGCAUUGCAAACGUGGCCAACAAACGAUUGAAAUCGUAUUUUUCCGGAAAAAUUAUUGACAAAAUUAAAAUAUAUAAUGCUGGACUCAAUAAACCAACAACGUUACCAGCAAGCAUUGGGUUGUUUGCACCAGUCGUCUCAAUAGUGAGCGUUUUGCCUCCCUCAGCACGAGCAACAACAAGCCAAGUAAUAAUACUCGAAAUGAUUCCUAAAACCGGAGAAACGGUAACUGCAAUUGUAGACACGCGGCUAAAAAGCAUUACACAGGUAGCUGGAACAACAGCUGGACAUACUAAAACACCCAUCAAUAGAUAAAGAUAUCCCAUUGAUACUUGUCCAUAAUAAAGUCCAGUGGCAAAGCCUGACAUUGCGAAGCCAAAAACUAUCAAAGAUGCAUGCCCUGUAUAUAACAAUUCCUUGCCGGUGGCUCUGGGUCUAACGUAUUGCUUGUAAAUAUCAUAGGUAAAGAUUGAAGAGACGGCUAUUAAUUCGGCAGACGCUGCAGAUGUAACAGCCAUGAAAACAAGCAAUAAAGUAGCGUUUGCGCCAGCUCGACCCAUCAAUGCGAUAGCGGCAUAAGGCAAAACCAAUCCUUCACUAACUUCCAAGUCACUCAUUCUGUUGGGAUAAGUAGGGAAAUAGGGUUUAUUUUCUAAACCGAGAGCCACGAGACCCAUGGUUGUGGCAGCAAGCCAGGGAAUUGCAAACCAUGCAAGACCACCAAGGAUAUAGCCAGGUAAAGCAGAUGCAGGAUUAGCAGCAAUAGCUUUUUGCCAAUAUCCAUUAUCUACGAAAACUGUUCCAAAGUUUCCUGCCAAAUUGAUGAUAAAAAAGAUAGCACCCUCUUGGCUUCUCAUAGUUAAGUAACUACCUUGAGCGUUUCCAGCUACUGGAUGAGCAUCACCUGCUUCCUUUAACAUAUCAUAUAACUUUCCAGGAGAUCCGAUUUUUUUAUCAGCAGAAUAAGUGGCCAAGCUAAACAUGAUCAAAAUGACCAGGAUAAUAACGGUGUGGAUAUAAUCAGUAAGGAAAGUGGCUUUAAUACCUCCAAACAUAGUAUAAAUAAUAACACCAACUGGUAGCAAAAAGCAAACAGCUACAGUGUUCAUGCCCGUCACCGAAGAAAUUGUUGCCGAUCCACCACACAACAACAUGGCCAUAACAAGUAUAUUAGUGAUAUAUGCAAAAACCAGAAAUACACCGUGUGCGAUGGGGCCACAUCGAGCUCUGACAACCUCAAGGAAUGUAUGGGCGUUAGGAGCUUUGCGCUUGAGUUCAAUUGCUAGUACUGUAAACAGCAAAAUUUGGACGCAUGCACCUGAUGCAUACCAAAACGCACCUGAUACACCGUACUGGUAAGUUUUUUGAGCACUGGUCAACAGGGUAGAAGCCCACGUCCAACUACUAACUACUGCGCUAGCAACCAAUCCAGUCCUUACGCUAUGCGAGGCAGUGUUAAAAUGCUCUGAUGUUUGAUUUUCGUUAUUGAACUUUUUCAAACUCCAUGAAACAAAUAUCAUGAGUGCGGCAAAUCCCAAGCCAAGGCCCACAACGAUGCCAUAGCCAACACUUUGCGUCAAUUCGGGUUGGACCAUGUUGUGACAAUGUUGGUGAUUACUUUUGCUAACAGAUCUAAGGUAAUGAAUAGAUGGUUAGAGAAUUUUUUUCUCUACUUGUCACUCAAUCAAACCUAUAAAUCUUGAACUUUUUAAAUCAUUCUUAACUGCUCUAUUUAUAAUACACAUCUUUCCGUAAUUUAUGAAAAUUUACUAAUUCCAA
Molecule: non-coding RNA, 2122 nt
Organism: Schizosaccharomyces pombe (fission yeast)
Lineage: Eukaryota; Fungi; Ascomycota; Schizosaccharomycetes; Schizosaccharomycetales; Schizosaccharomycetaceae
Source: the annotation of a GenBank genome assembly